UUUCAUUUCUUCCCUUUUCUCUUUUCCUACUACUCAUUCUUUUACUUCUAAGACUUUGAUAUUUUUUGUUAAUGUGAAAUUUUGUAUCUAUAAAUAGAAAGAAAAAAUGCUACCAUGAUCUUGAGUAACAUUGCAAUUUUCUCAUUAUUUUUUUCUACCAAAUCUAGAAUUAUUGUCCUUAUUUUCUUCCUUUUUAUUCUUCUUUCUCCUUCAUAUUGUUUGUAUCAUAAACCUAAACUCCAAGAUUCUAUUAAGGGUUUGUUAAUGGAAGAGAAAACAAGGUUGGGAUCAAUACCACCAAGUUGUUACAACAAGUGUAACCAAUGUCACCCAUGCAUGGCAGUGCAAGUGCCUACAACACCAAGUCACAAUCGAGUUGAGUCGAAUCGAGUCAAAAAUAUCAAUCGAGCUGAGUCGAAUCGAGCUAAAAAUAUGCCCAUACAGUAUUUUGAAUCAUCAUCACCAUCAAUUGGAGCCAAUAGGUACUCAAAUUACAAGCCACUUGGAUGGAAAUGUAGAUGUGAUGACCACUUUUACAAUCCUUAGUUAGGUCUCGAAUUUUUUAUAAAAUAAUCGUAAUAUUCAGAUCAGUUUGUGAUUUAUAAUUAACACGUGGAUGGUAUGUAAUUUUUUUUUUUUUUUUAGGAAUUUUUGUGUAAAUAAAUUUGGUCCCUAUUGGGAUACUAUGUAGAGUAAUGACAUAUUUAAUGAGGCUGUUAGAAGCAUUUAUGUAUGAUAUCAAUACACUGAUGUUGUACAUAACCUUUUUCACAGUGUUGAA
Molecule: long non-coding RNA, 781 nt
Organism: Capsicum annuum
Lineage: Eukaryota; Viridiplantae; Streptophyta; Magnoliopsida; Solanales; Solanaceae
Exons: 2
Source: RefSeq, a predicted model, not a curated record